Molecule: ribosomal RNA, 494 nt
Filed under: uncultured bacterium
Lineage: Bacteria
Description: partial 16S ribosomal RNA
Rfam family: Bacterial small subunit ribosomal RNA
Source: RNAcentral
GACGAACGCUGGCGGCGUGCUUAACACAUGCAAGUCGAACGGUGAAGCGCCUUCCUUUUUGGUGGGUGUGGAUGAGUGGCGAACGGGUGAGUAACACGUGAGUAACCUGCCCCCUUCUUCUGGAUAACCGCAUGAAAGUGUGGCUAAUACGGGAUAUUCUGGGUCUGUCGCAUGAUGGGUCUGGGAAAGAUAUUGUUUCGGUGGGGGAUGGGCUCGCGGCCUAUCAGCUUGUUGGUGGGGUGAUGGCCUACCAAGGCGGUGACGGGUAGCCGGCCUGAGAGGGUGGACGGUCACACUGGGACGGAGACACGGCCCAGACUACUACGGGAGGCAGCAGGGGGGAAUAGUGCACAAUGGGCGCAAGGCUGAUGCAGCGACGCGGCGGGAGGGAUGGAGGCCGUCGGGUUGUGAACCUCUUUCGCCAGUGAAGCAGGCCUGCCUAGUUUGUGGGUGGGUUGACGGUAGCUGGAUAAGAAGCGCCGGCUAACUACGUG